GACGUAGGGCGCGAGCGUUGUCCGGAUUUAUUGGGCGUAAAGAGCUCGUAGGCGGCUUGUCGCGUCGACUGUGAAAUCCCGCGGCUCAACUGCGGGUCUGCAGUCGAUACGGGCAGGCUAGAGUUCGGUAGGGGAGACUGGAAUUCCUGGUGUAGCGGUGAAAUGCGCAGAUAUCGGGAGGAACACCGGUGGCGAAGGCGGUUCUCUGGGCCUGACCUGACGCUGAGGAGCGAAAGCGUGGGGAGCGAACAGG
RNAcentral lists this ribosomal RNA (253 nucleotides) under uncultured bacterium. RNAcentral's name for it is "partial 16S ribosomal RNA". It matches the Rfam family "Bacterial small subunit ribosomal RNA", at positions 524 to 776 of the family's 1533-position model. The record is from RNAcentral.